Molecule: long non-coding RNA, 2085 nt
Organism: Brienomyrus brachyistius
Lineage: Eukaryota; Metazoa; Chordata; Actinopteri; Osteoglossiformes; Mormyridae
Exons: 5
Source: RefSeq, a predicted model, not a curated record
UACAGUUAUCCAUCUGAAGCUGGAUUUAAACCAGCAAACUUUGGAUUACAAGCCCAAAUACUUGAGCUACUGAGCCACACACUUACACUGACUCAGCUUAAGUUGCAGAGACACAGUGCACUUUCUGUUGGAUGUCAGACAGAACGGCAAAGGACCCCUCACUAACAGGAACCUAAAACACACAAACACUUGGGAACACUUCAAAUGCGUGAUCUGACUCUGCAAGGGGAGAACAUGUUCAUGUGGAGUCUUGGCUUUUCACAACGUUUCAUUCCUGCUUAUAGCUAAGGUUUUUUUUAGCCGUUGUCACUCUAAGGUUGCCCAUUAAUGGUUUGGAAUUGGGAAUGUAAAGCUGUUUUGUUAGCAUGUCUGCCUUACAAUUCCUUUACUGUAUGUCGAGGCCUGCUGGAGCUCAAUUCUGCUUCAUGGCACUUGUAUUUACUCUUUAUUUUGCAUUACAUUAUGUGUGAGACUAACCCCUUUCUCUACCUCUCCAUUCCUCCUGUCGAGCUCCAUACAGGACUAGUGGAGAAAAGGGGUGCUUGGAGGGGGGACGAUAUCUCUGGAUGCCCACUUAAGAAAGAUCUGCGUUACCUUCCAAUACACCUUCCAAACUUAAGUGGAUUGAACAUGGGUGCUGUUGAAUUAAUAAAAAAAUGCACUGUAUUAAAAAUUAUUUUGUUUAUAUAACAUAAAAUUGAACUAUAAACAUGAAAUUUAAAUCUGUCGUGCAAAAAUAGUCAUGCAAAGUCAUUGAUUUAUUUUUAAUACAAUUGCACUGUGAUACAUUUAACAUCAUAUUUUCAGUUCUGCCUAACAGAACUAACAAUUUUACAGGCUUUUGUUGAAAUUACCUUAAAAAUUCAUCUGGAAUGUAUCGAUUUAUGCUGUAAUUAAUGAUGCAAAUUAACGCAGAUGGGGCCAUUUUGACCCAAAACAGCUAGUUGGAGGGUAGCAAUCCUCCAGAUUGUAAAGGUCAAGAUACUGGAGCAAAAAAGAAAAACAGUGAAAGCUGUCAGAAACAGGCAGGAAACUUUGCAUGGAUGUUUUUGAAGAGGUAGACGGGUCCAGUUGGCUGUAUUAGUCAGAGUGCUAAGAAACAUAGCGCCAACAAGCCCAUGGCCCCUUUUCAUGUAAAACUUCGUACAGGAGGCUGUUUGUGCAGUUUAGUGCCUUUGUUAGCCUCGGCUCCUGUAAAUCAUAUAAGCACACCCACCACACCCCUAGGAGCAUUCAGUGUGCCCCCACCUGCCAACCUGCCUGUCCCCCCAACCCACAGACCGUCUGUAGUUCUGAAAUUUAUCCACAUGGCUGUUGACCAAGUCUAAGGUAAAAUUCCAUAAAUGAAAUUUUCAGUAAAAUACAAUUUUUUCCUCUAAUCUGGGAGACAGUGCAGAAUUAUUGAAGUCGGUCCUAACUCUGUCUUGAAUAUGUACCCAGCAGGCACCUAGGACUCGUAUCUCCCUCUGAGAAUCUCUUCUAAGGCGCUCAGCAGCAGAAAUUCUCCAUCCUAGAUGAGCCUGCAAAGUUCUGUAGAAGUUAAAUAUACUUUAGUCAAAUGAGAGACUAACCUGCUGUCAGGCUGGGGAAGCUUGAACAAGGCCUUCAUUCAUGACAGCUCCACUUGGCUUUUUGACGAGUCCCCAUUUAGAUGCAGCACGUCAGAGACUGAAGAGCAGGAUGAAGGCUAAAUUCUCUCAAGAAAGAAGUUGCCUCUUACCAUGUCACAAGCAAUUAGUUUCACCCAAAAAGGAGGAGGACCCCUCUCUGCUCCCCGUGUUAAAAAACAAUACACCGCCUCACAGGCCAGAGCCACAGCCUUCUCCUCUCUGCUGGGUGGAAGAACAACUCUCACACAGUGGAAGUCCUCCAGACCCCCUGCCUUCAGACAAUAGGUUCCCUGGUUUUGGUCUACAUUCCUCGGUCCUCUACUGUGGAGUCUACCUUCUGCUUCACCUCAUUCUGGAGUCGCCCAUCCAGUCAGCGGCCCAUGUCCCCCUGGUUCCCUGUUUCCUGAGUCUUCUGGCAAUAUAAUCUGGUGAAUGGGGAAAGACUUCCAGCAGGGGCUCCGGUUUCCUCCCACAG